CCAUGGCAGCCGGGAGCUCCGGAACACUCCGGCUGGCUGCGGCGGCUCUAAGCUCCAGGGGUGUCCCACCUGCCCACUGUGGCUCUAAGCUCCUGGGGUGCCCCUGCUGCCCGUGGUGGCUUCAAGCUCCCAGGGGGCCCUGUGAUUGCUGGGAGCUCAGGGCCCUGCAGUUCCCCACAGGUGAUGGGGGACCCUUCAGUUCCCAGGCGCUGCAGGCUCAAGUCACAAAAGUCUCUGGAAGUCACAGAUUCCAUGUUCUCUGUGACAAAAUCGUAGUCCUAAUCAUAAGCAUUGUGUGAGUAUGUAUGGGUGAUCAUUAAGAAAUUAUUUGUAUGUACUAAAAAUACGUUUAAACCAUGUAACCAGUCCGGGUUGAUAAAGAAGUUUGUCCUAGACAAAGGAAUGUUGAUUUACCUGCCUGCCUAGAUCUCUGAGGUAAAUCAAGCAGUGUAAAGGCCAGGUUCACAGAGGGGAAGUGAAAUCAGCAUGGGAAGAGACCAGAGGCUAAAACUACAGGGGUUUGGUGUGUCUCUGGGGUAAAAACAAUGAGUUUGGGGGAAAUAUAAGGAGAAGCAAAGGACAUUUUGUUAUUUAUUUCACUGAGGAACACUCUUGGCAGAGUGGAGUGAUUCAUGACCAUUAUGGAUCCUGGUUUUGACUGAAAACCAGCAGGCUCUGCAGACAGACUGGAGGGUGAAGAAACUGCUUUAGCCAAAGAAGUGAGGCCUGCUAAAGUUAUGCGUAGAAACCAAGUGACCGUCGCAGUUGCUGCUUGUCUUUAGGCCAUACAAAUCUUGUUUUCUGUGGCAUUAACCACAUUGUCUACCACUGGAGUUAAAUUUCUGGAAGCCAGGAAAAAAAGAAAACCUCUUACAUGCCUGGGAGAAAUGUUUUACAGGACUCCCCAGCAAAACAAUUUCCCCUUAAUUAAGUAAUAUGAUGUAAAUUACAUGGUGAAUGAUUUAAUAAGGGAGGAAACGUGGCAACCAACAGCAACAAAAAUCUUUUAAGAAUAGUGGCGUGAUUCUCCGGAAAAGAACAGAAAAUAUGAAGUCACGAGCACAAGCCGCAAUUCACAAAAACCCCAAACCCAUUCAUUCUAUUCAUUAUUUUGGAAAUGGAAAGGUCCAAAAUCUCUUUCCCUGGACAGAAGGAUGCGUUCUCCUUUUCACCCAUCGACUACAACCCAUUGAAUUUGAUUGCUUUGGCCACUCUCACUCUUUGUUGCUGGCUCCUUGCCUAGCUUCUGGAAUACACAGCCCUGCUUGUAUAUGUGCCAAGUUCACUGUCACAGACCAGUGGAACUCACCAGUAUCGUCCACACAAUGUGAAAGUCUGUAUCCUCUGCUAGGUAAGUGGUGCCUGAAGAGGGCCUAAUAUGGAAAGAGAGGACCACAAAAUCAAAGUGAGAGUUAAAGGAGCUCGGUUUUAUCAAAUGGGUAUUAAAAGCCAACAAACAUGGUAAAUACCUUAUUUCUCCCCCUGCUCCUCCCCCCAAAAAAACCUAAAAGGAAAAGAUUUCACAUGAAGAAAAAGAGACCAACAAAAAUCUAAUGCUUCCCAAAAUUAUUGUUAUAGGAAGUUUAUAUUGAGAUGUGUCAGGACUCCCCCCACUUACCAUGCCUCGCUCCGGAUUUUUAAAAAAACAGCCAGUGGACACCCAAUGUGUGAGUGUCAGCUGCUCUCAGCCUGUUGACACCUGCUUCAGGCACUAUUGGUUCAAGCUGUCCACAGAUAUGUAAACUGACCCGGUUUUCUUAAUAGAGUUGAUUCUGACACCUAGAGUCAUCACUGCUAUUUCAUUAAUGAUCAUAUUUACAGAAUCAUCCAGCUAGUCUGUUUAUCCAUCACUUUGUGAAGAAAUGAGUAGUGGGGCAUGAGCAGCUGGGUACCUGCAAGGACUGAUGGAGAUAAAGGAGGAGUUCAAAAUUUAAAGGAACCUCUGCCCCUCACCUCUAGGGGGGAAGAAUGGUCACAACCUCCUGACAUCUGUUUGUGACACUCCCAGAUGUCAUGACCCUCCAGGCUGAAGACCCCUGUUCUAGAGGGGAAGCAAGUUUUAUUUAGAGAUGAAAUGUUGCUUUAUAUGAUGGUCAGUUUUGAAUGUGUGAAAGGGACAAUCACAAUAGCUUAUUUUCUAGAAUACAUACAGUUGCAUGAGAAAAAGUAGGUUUCUCCAGGAAUAAUCGUCACUGUUAUUACUAUUGCUACUGCAGUGGAGCUGGGAAUCAGGGACCUACUAUUUAAUGUAGGCACUGUACACAUAGAAAACUGUCCCUUCCUCCAAGAGUUUAUCAGCUAAGUAGAGUUCCCCCCCAUGGGGAAACUAAGGCUCCAUUAGAGCCAGGGAGAAGCUGGAGGAUCCUUCAGUGCAGAUUGUCCAGCAGCCCUGGCCAUAUGGAAGGUCUAGAUCAUGCCUACAACCAUGAAACCUUUCUCUAGAAGCAUCACUGUAGAUGCUAGGUUAUUUGAUGAAGCUGCAGUAAAUGAACAUGGGAUAUAAGAAUGCAGUUUAAUUUUAUGAAUGCAAAUGAUGGGUCCCCAUCCUAUGAGUUUUUACUCAGCAAAAGGUUACAUCCCUUCCAAGAGAAUAAGGGUUUAUCACUCAAAUCCAAUAGAUUCCUCCAGAUUUGUAUGAAUCUCGGUGCUCUGCCAAGAUUUCAGGGUAUCUGCAUAGGGGUAUAGAGUCAUGCUGCCAGAGCCAUUGGAACCUUGCUUGGUAGCAGGGGUAUGUGCAGGAAUAAAAAUUUGACCCCUUUUGGAGGGGCACUUUGUGUCCAUGCCCUAGCCCCAGGGCCAGAGGAGCUCACUCUCCCUGCCCUGGCCGAGCUCGCUUUUCCCACUCCAGCUGCAGGGCCGGAGGAGUUCUGUGCCCAUGCCGAUUAUUGGGAGGGUCUUGCCCCUGCUUGCCACACCCCCUUAUGCAUGUCCCUGCUUGGUCCAGAGAGAUGGCUCCUGAACCUGUAUUACCUUUCUGGAGGACUUCCCUCAGGUUGCCAGGAGGAAUAAUGUGUGUCCCACGUGACUCCACCAGACCCAAUUUCUCUCUCCUUCUUCUCUCCACACACAAGUUCCAGGAUCUAUGAGAUCCUUUUCCAGAUCCAUGGAAUGGGUGGGUGAUGAGGCCCUCUCUCCUUGACUUCCAGCCUGGAAGGGACAGAUAGAUAUGUGGAAGAACCCUGACCUUACCUAUAAGUUGUGAAAAAAGUUGUAUUGCAUGUGCAUGUGGUGUUUAGGUAAUUUUAUCACACAUUUUCUGGUUAGGCUGAGAAGUAUGGAGUUAGAUGCAGUGACUCAAACAGCUACAAUAGCAAAGAUGGAUAGUUGCAUGGUUAAAGCAUUUGGCUGGGAAUUAACAGAUCCUGGUUCUGCCACAGGCUGUGUGUGUAUGACCUUGAAUUUAGGCUGCUUUCAGUGCCUCAGUUUCACAUGUAUCUAGUGGGGAUAACAAUACCUUUCUAUCUCGCAGGGAUGCUCAUAAAUGAGGCUCAAUUUAUUAAUGAGAGUAUGGGGGAGUGAUAAAUUAAGAGGAUAGGUCAUGAGAUCUGGCUUGUGUGAGAAAUUGGGCACAAACAAUAUGCAUUUUAAUAUGGCCACACGUAAAGUCAUAUGUCUUGGAACAAAGAAGAAUCAAAUGCCUAACUCAGUGUUGGGCAACCUGCUGCCCGCAGGCCACAGGCGGCCCAUCAGGGUAAUCUGAUUGCAGGCCGCAAGACAUUUUGCGGACAUUGACCAUCCGCAGGCACCGUCCCACGCAGCUCCCAGUGGCCGUGGUUCUCUGUUCCCAGCCAAUGGGAGCUGCAGGAAGCAGCAACCAGCAUGUUAAGGCGAGGUUAGAUAAACUCUUUUCAGGGAUGGUCUAGGUAAACUUGGUCUUGCCUCAGCACAGGGGGUUGUAUUAGAUGAUCUGUUGAGGUCCUUUCUAGCCCUACAGUUUUAUUAUUCUAAGUAGGCCAUAUUUACAAGAGGAGGACUCUAUCCUGGGAACCUGUGACUCUGAAAAGGACUUGUGGAGGUCAUUGCGGAUAAUCAGCAGAACAUGAGCUUCCAGGGUGACACUGUGGCCAGUGAAAUCCUUGGAUAUAUAAGAGAAUCUUGAAUAGAAGCAGAGAGGUUAUAUUACCACUGUAUUUGGCACUGGUGCAACCGUGUUUGGAAUACUGUGUCCAGUUCUAGUGUCCACAAUUCAAGAAAGCUGUUGAUAAAUUAGAGAUGGUUCAGAGAAGAACCAUGGUCAGCAUUUCUGGAUGUCUUGUUAAACAAUAACAUUUUGCCUUUCUUUUUGUCUAUACAUUUGUUAAAAGUGAAUACAAGAACCACUUGCAUUAAAGAGACACACUAUCAAACUAGAAACGGAAUUCAUUUUUCAUAUUUGACUGAAGGGGUUUCAGGUCCCAAACCUUACUUUGAGCCAUCUGCUAAUUCUUCUGAUUUUGCAACCAUAUUUUCCCUAUCUUUAAGGGCCCAAUCCUAUAUGCUGCUAAACAACUCCUGGAAAUGCUGAAUCUUUCAACGUCCAUCACUGGAGUUGUUCAGCACUUGGCAGAAUCAGGCCCCCAAAGUGCUGUCAAAUAUACAGCAUAAACUAGCUGUCUAAAUGCAGAAGAAUGUUGAGACAGAAGUGUGAUUUUUUAUAUUGAUGGUGUCCCUUCAGUGUUUACACUAGCCCUUUCUAACAAAAUGGCAGCAAUUGAAGCACAUAUGGACUUCUAACAGUGAUUCACCAAAGCUAAACAUUUCUAUUGUUGUUUUAGAUCACCAGUCUCUGUAAUGGCCUUCCUUCUAAACACUGUUUAUUAUAUUUAGUUAAUUGUAAAUAUGAAAUGGAAUGAACAUGAAGUGUGUAUAAAAUUAAUACAUGUCAUUAUCUUGCACUAUUGUAGCCCUCUAUCUAAGAUACUUCUAUGGCUUUCAUCAUCAUCACAGUAUCUGAGCACCUCAUAAUCUUUAAUGUAGUCAUCCUCACAACACCAGCCCUACAAGGUAGGGAAGUGCUAUGAUCCCCAUUUUACAGAUAAGAACUGAGACACAGGGGGCUAAGUAACUUGCAUAAGAUCACAGAGGAAGUCAGUGGCAGAGGAUGAACUUGAACCUAUGUCUCUCAAGUUCUAGUCUAAUGCCCUACCACUGGGCUGUCCCAUAACUGUAACCUCUCUCCUUUGAUUGUUUUUGUCUCUUGCUAUGCUAUGUCUAAUUUUAGGGCCAAAUCCUUCUCACCUUAUCCCCAUAAGUAAUGAAUCAGUGGGACUACUGGCAUAAAAGGAGCAAGCUUUGUCCCCAAUUCCACAAGCAUUUGUGCAUGUGCUUGGCUUUAUGCACAUGAAUAGUCAGAUGAAUGUCAAUGAUGUAGUCGUAUUGCUAUCAGUGGGACAACUCAUGCAUGUAAACGUAAGCACAUGGGCAAGGAUUUGCAGGAUCAGGGCUUAGAUUGUAAAGUCCUCAGGGCAGGGAUCUGUCAUUUUUUCAUUUGU
Molecule: non-coding RNA, 5471 nt
Organism: Chrysemys picta bellii (western painted turtle)
Lineage: Eukaryota; Metazoa; Chordata; Testudines; Emydidae
Source: RefSeq, a predicted model, not a curated record